RNAcentral lists this ribosomal RNA (440 nucleotides) under uncultured bacterium. RNAcentral's name for it is "partial 16S ribosomal RNA". It matches the Rfam family "Bacterial small subunit ribosomal RNA", at positions 338 to 795 of the family's 1533-position model. The record is from RNAcentral.
CCUACGGGAGGCAGCAGUGGGGAAUAUUGCACAAUGGGGGAAACCCUGAUGCAGCGACGCCGCGUGAGUGAAGAAGGAAUUCGGUAUGUAAAGCUCUAUCAGCAGGGAAGAAAAUGACGGUACCUGAGUAAGAAGCCCCGGCUAACUACGUGCCAGCAGCCGCGGUAAUACGUAGGGGGCAGGCGUUAUCCGGAUUUACUGGGUGUAAAGGGAGCGUAGACGGGAGUGCAAGUCUGGAGUGAAAGGCGGGGGCUCAACCCCCGGACUGCUCUGGAAACUGUACGGCUGGAGUGCAGGAGAGGUAAGUGGAAUUCCUAGUGUAGCGGUGAAAUGCGUAGAUAUUAGGAGGAACACCAGUGGCGAAGGCGGCUUACUGGACUGUAACUGACGUUGAGGCUCGAAAGCGUGGGGAGCAAACAGGAUUAGAUACCCGUGUAGUC